AUUCAGCUGACUGGUCCCAAAUAGGACGAAAUGCGUGUUCUGGAU
RNAcentral lists this non-coding RNA (45 nucleotides) under Schistosoma haematobium. Lineage: Eukaryota; Metazoa; Platyhelminthes; Trematoda; Strigeidida; Schistosomatidae. The record is from RNAcentral.